CUCUCUCUUUCUCCUGCCACCAUGUGAAGAAGGUGCUUGCUUCCCCUUGGUGUUCUGCCAUAAAUUUUAUCAUUUCUGGAUUGCUGUCUGUCAUUUUGGGAAGAAAAUCAAACAAGCAUCUGCCCUGCUCAGUCCUGGGUGGAGAAGCUACCAGAACCACAUCUCCUGUCUGUCCCACCAUAAGUCUCUGCUUCAUUCACGCUUUCAUGUGUCGUGCAUCAAGCAAGCAUUUGCCUGUAGGCUUGGGGAGCUCUGAGAGGGGUUGAGAGUGAACAAAAUUAAUCAAAUCGUAUAACAGAAGAGGAAGUCCCAUCCUGCCGAGGAUCCUGGAUGUGAGAACCUGCUGCUGGCCUGGUGGGAUCGUGGUGCCCCAGGAGCAUGAACUGCUCAGGAGCAGACCCUGACCAGAUCCCCUGCAGGCCUGGAACAGCCUGAUCAGCAGCCUCCUAAGCCCCAUGGCUGCCACAGUGGGCCUCAUUGUCCUUCCCUAUCACCUAGCCGGGGUGUUCCCAGCUGCCAGACAGUGCCAACUGGUGGUGCCUGCCCAUCAGUGCCCCAAGACAGCCACUACUUUUCGAAGAAUGAGACCACCAGCUGCUUUGUGGCCAGCUCCAGCUUACUGGUGAGUAUUUUUAGGUAGAAUGUUCCAGACUAGUGAAGUCUUUGAGAUUUUCUGCUUCUUGUUCACUGCUUCCUUCUGAUGUGGACCAUGCGGAAAGAGGCAGAACACAGGAACCCACACAUGGGAGAAUAGCAGGCAUUUGACUGGACUGUGCCAAAAGAGUUGUUCAAGUACAAUAUCAAGCAAGACUGUAGUUGCAAAAAGACAUAACCAACAACUUGGUUUCAAUUUGAGCACCUUAAUAAACAAACUGAUUUAACUG
This is a long non-coding RNA of Homo sapiens (human), 884 nucleotides long. Ensembl annotates it as long intergenic non-protein coding RNA 2829. The record is from Ensembl. NCBI's taxonomy places the organism in Eukaryota, Metazoa, Chordata, Mammalia, Primates, Hominidae.